AGGUAUGGUGGCCGAGUAGGUGGCGAGUUGUACCUCGUGUACGGGAAUUGUGCCCCCCAACCAA
Molecule: transfer RNA, 64 nt
Filed under: Cyrtodactylus quadrivirgatus
Lineage: Eukaryota; Metazoa; Chordata; Lepidosauria; Squamata; Gekkonidae
Description: tRNA-Tyr
Source: RNAcentral